Molecule: ribosomal RNA, 903 nt
Filed under: Lysobacter sp.
Lineage: Bacteria; Pseudomonadati; Pseudomonadota; Gammaproteobacteria; Lysobacterales; Lysobacteraceae
Description: bacterial SSU rRNA
Rfam family: Bacterial small subunit ribosomal RNA
Source: RNAcentral
UAAUAGCAUGCAAUGUCGAACGGCAGCACUACGAGGAGCUUGCUCCUUGGGUGGCGAGUGGCGGACGGGUGAGGAAUACGUCGGAAUCUGCCUAUUUGUGGGGGAUAACGUAGGGAAACUUACGCUAAUACCGCAUACGACCUACGGGUGAAAGCGGAGGACCUUCGGGCUUCGCGCAGAUCGAUGAGCCGACGUCGGAUUAGCUAGUUGGCGGGGUAAAGGCCCACCAAGGCGACGAUCCGUAGCUGGUCUGAGAGGAUGAUCAGCCACACUGGAACUGAGACACGGUCCAGACUCCUACGGGAGGCAGCAGUGGGGAAUAUUGGACAAUGGGCGCAAGCCUGAUCCAGCCAUGCCGCGUGUGUGAAGAAGGCCUUCGGGUUGUAAAGCACUUUUGUCCGGAAAGAAAAGCACUGGGUUAAUACCCUGGUGUCAUGACGGUACCGGAAGAAUAAGCACCGGCUAACUUCGUGCCAGCAGCCGCGGUAAUACGAAGGGUGCAAGCGUUACUCGGAAUUACUGGGCGUAAAGCGUGCGUAGGUGGUUUGUUAAGUCUGAUGUGAAAGCCCUGGGCUCAACCUGGGAAUGGCAUUGGAAACUGGCUGACUAGAGUGCGGUAGAGGGUAGUGGAAUUCCCGGUGUAGCAGUGAAAUGCGUAGAUAUCGGGAGGAACAUCUGUGGCGAAGGCGACUACCUGGACCAGCACUGACACUGAGGCACGAAAGCGUGGGGAGCAAACAGGAUUAGAUACCCUGGUAGUCCACGCCCUAAACGAUGCGAACUGGAUGUUGGGAGCAACUUGGCUCUCAGUAUCGAAGCUAACGCGUUAAGUUCGCCGCCUGGGAAGUACGGUCGCAAGACUGAAACUCAAAGGAAUUGACGGGGGCCGCACAGCGGUGGAAA